Molecule: unclassified non-coding RNA, 261 nt
Filed under: plant metagenome
Description: partial contains small subunit ribosomal RNA, internal transcribed spacer 1, and 5.8S ribosomal RNA
Source: RNAcentral
UCUCCGUUGGUGAACCAGCGGAGGGAUCAUUACCGAGUUUACAACUCCCAAACCCAAUGUGAACGUUACCAAACUGUUGCCUCGGCGGGAUCUCUGCCCCGGGUGCGUCGCAGCCCCGGACCAAGGCGCCCGCCGGAGGACCAACCAAAACUCUUUAUGUAUACCCCCUCGCGGGUUUUUUACAAUCUGAGCUAUCUCGGCGCCCCUCGUGGGCGUUUCGAAAAUGAAUCAAAACUUUCAACAACGGAUCUCUUGGUUCUG